Molecule: ribosomal RNA, 267 nt
Filed under: uncultured bacterium
Lineage: Bacteria
Description: partial 16S ribosomal RNA
Rfam family: Bacterial small subunit ribosomal RNA
Source: RNAcentral
UACGUAGGGGCAAGCGUUGUCCGGAUUUAUUGGGCGUUAAAGAGCAGUGUAGGCGGUUCGGUAGGUCCGUUGUGAAAACUCGAGGCCUCAACCGUCGAGACGCCGAUGGAAACCAUCGAACUAGAGUCCGGAAGAGGAGAGUGGAAUUCCUGGUGUAGCGGUGAAAUGCGCAGAUAUCAGGAAGAACACCCGUGGCUAAAGGCGGCUCUCUAGUACGGUACUGACGCUGAGAGCGAAAGCGUGGGGAGCGAACAGGAUUAGAUACCC